CGGUGUAGCUCAGUUGGUAGAGCAACUGAUUUGUAAUCAGUGGGUCGUAGGUUCAAGUCCUAUCUCCG
This 68-nucleotide transfer RNA is filed under the name Methylophaga thiooxydans. It matches the Rfam family "tRNA". From Rfam's summary of the family: Transfer RNA (tRNA) molecules are approximately 80 nucleotides in length. Their secondary structure includes four short double-helical elements and three loops (D, anti-codon, and T loops). Further hydrogen bonds mediate the characteristic L-shaped molecular structure. tRNAs have two regions of fundamental functional importance: the anti-codon, which is responsible for specific mRNA codon recognition, and the 3' end, to which the tRNAs corresponding amino acid is attached (by aminoacyl-tRNA synthetases). tRNAs cope with the degeneracy of the genetic code in two manners: having more than one tRNA (with a specific anti-codon) for a particular amino acid; and 'wobble' base-pairing, i.e. permitting non-standard base-pairing at the 3rd anti-codon position. Lineage: Bacteria; Pseudomonadati; Pseudomonadota; Gammaproteobacteria; Thiotrichales; Piscirickettsiaceae. The record is from RNAcentral. RNAcentral also lists the same sequence under 1 other name.